Long non-coding RNA from Octopus sinensis (East Asian common octopus), 419 nucleotides. RefSeq lists it as uncharacterized. The transcript is spliced from 2 exons. Lineage: Eukaryota; Metazoa; Mollusca; Cephalopoda; Octopoda; Octopodidae. The record is from RefSeq and is a predicted model, not a curated record.
GAUCGGAUGUUGCUUUAAAGUAUUCUAUACAUUGUGUUAUUAUUCUCCUUGCAGUCUUGUUCCCUUCCAAGAUUGUUUCGUCUCUUCCGAGGUCUUGGUCUUCGCCAUUUGAUCAUAGUCAAUGAUAAGAAUGACGUUACGGGAAUAGUCACUCGGAAAGAUCUCGCAAAAUAUCGUGCUGAAGCAAAACGUGGAAUUGUCCAAAUCGAGACUUUGGAAAUCUCAGAUCUCUGAACGGCAGCCACAAUAAGACUUUCCUUUAUCAGGGCAGACCUACAAGAACGCAAUGAGUACGACAGCUGCUAUGCAAUCAUUACCACCAAUAACAACAACAACAACAACUACAACAACAAAAAUAACAGCUAAUAAAAAAAAAAACCAGAUAACUAAUACCGAAAUAACGAAAGUAAAAAAAAAAA